AUGAAAUUAUUUUGUACUUUUUCUGUAGGUGAUUCGGUAACCCAAACACAAGCAAGGCAAGCAGUAACGUCCGAUGACCCUGCAUAUGCGUAUUGUUUUGCCCUAGAUGUGAACAAGAAGUACCAUUUGCAGUGCAAUUUUCGUGACAAGCUAUUGAAAGGUGGAAUUACUAGAAUGAAGUACCAUGUUGCUUGCAUUACUGGCUUCAAUGCUGUUAAAUGUAAGAAGGUUCCAGCUGAUGUGAAGGAAGCGAUUAUUGCUUUUCUUAUGAAGAAGAGUGGUGACAAGCAAAAGAAGAAGGAUGAAGUGCAAAGGGUUCGAUCUGCAAUUAAUAUAGAGAACUCAGAUGAUGAAAGGGGUAGUGGGGACGAUUCUAACUUUGAUAGGAAUGAUGUUGUGUUGCUGAAGUCAACAAGAGGCAGUGGGACGAGUAACUCUACAAUUGUGGUAGGUAGUGGCAGUGCCACUAUUGAUAAGUUUUACAAGAAAACAUCUAUAGAAGAGUCUAUUCGCAAUAAUGAAAAGGGAUUCAACGUUAGCUAG
Molecule: ribosomal RNA, 543 nt
Filed under: Triticum aestivum (bread wheat)
Lineage: Eukaryota; Viridiplantae; Streptophyta; Magnoliopsida; Poales; Poaceae
Description: partial small subunit ribosomal RNA
Source: RNAcentral